UACAGAGGGGGCGAGCGUUGUUCGGAAUUACUGGGCGUAAAGCGCGCGCAGGCGGCUCGUCAAGCCUGACGUGAAAGCCCCCGGCUCAACCGGGGAGGGUCGUCGGGGACUGGCGGGCUUGAGGUCGGCAGGGGCUGGUGGAAUUCCCGGUGUAGUGGUGAAAUUCGUAGAUAUCGGGAGGAACACCAGUGGCGAAGGCGGCGACCUGGGCCAAUAUUGACGCUGAGGUGCGAAAGCGUGGGGAGCAAACAGG
RNAcentral lists this ribosomal RNA (253 nucleotides) under uncultured bacterium. Its description in RNAcentral is "partial 16S ribosomal RNA". It matches the Rfam family "Bacterial small subunit ribosomal RNA", at positions 524 to 776 of the family's 1533-position model. The record is from RNAcentral.